Molecule: ribosomal RNA, 243 nt
Filed under: uncultured bacterium
Lineage: Bacteria
Description: partial small subunit ribosomal RNA
Rfam family: Bacterial small subunit ribosomal RNA
Source: RNAcentral
AGAAUCAACGCUGGCGGCGUGCCUAACACAUGCAAGUCGCACGAGAAAGGGGAGCAAUCCCUGAGUAAAGUGGCGCACGGGUGAGUAACACGUGAAUCAUCUACCUCCGAGUGGGGAAUAACCUGGAGAAAUCUGGGCUAAUACCGCAUAACACUUACGAGUCAAAGCAGCAAUGCGCUUGGAGAGGAGUUCGCGGCCGAUUAGCUAGUUGGCGGGUAAUGGCCCACAAGGCGAUGAUCGGUA